AACACGGAAGUGAAACGCCGCAGCGCCGAUGGUAGUUUGACGACAGGUCAUGCGAGAGUAGGACGUUGCCAGGU
RNAcentral lists this ribosomal RNA (74 nucleotides) under Verrucomicrobiota bacterium. The record is from RNAcentral. Lineage: Bacteria; Pseudomonadati; Verrucomicrobiota.